This 427-nucleotide ribosomal RNA is filed under the name Lancefieldella parvula. RNAcentral describes it as "bacterial SSU rRNA". It matches the Rfam family "Bacterial small subunit ribosomal RNA", at positions 28 to 454 of the family's 1533-position model. The record is from RNAcentral. Lineage: Bacteria; Bacillati; Actinomycetota; Coriobacteriia; Coriobacteriales; Atopobiaceae.
GAUGAACGCUGGCGGCGCGCCUAACACAUGCAAGUCGAACGAUUAAAGCACCUUCGGGUGUGUAUAAAGUGGCGAACGGCUGAGUAACACGUGGGCAACCUGCCCCUUUCAUUGGGAUAGCCACGGGAAACCGUGGAUAAUACCGAAUAAUUCGAGACUUCCGCAUGGAAGACUCGAGAAAGCUCCGGCGGAGAGGGAUGGGCCCGCGGCCUGUUAGCUUGUUGGUGGGGUAACGGCCUACCAAGGCAAUGAUGGGUAGCUGGGUUGAGAGACCGACCAGCCAGAUUGGGAAUGAGACACGGCCCAGACUCCUACGGGAGGCAGCAGUGGGGAAUCUUGCACAAUGGGCGAAAGCCUGAUGCAGCGACGCCGCGUGCGGGAUGAAGGCCUUCGGGUUGUAAACCGCUUUCAGCAGGGACGAGGCGAA